This is a long non-coding RNA of Papaver somniferum (opium poppy), 811 nucleotides long. RefSeq lists it as uncharacterized. The transcript is spliced from 2 exons. The record is from RefSeq and is a predicted model, not a curated record. NCBI's taxonomy places the organism in Eukaryota, Viridiplantae, Streptophyta, Magnoliopsida, Ranunculales, Papaveraceae.
CAGAAUGUGAUUAAAUUUUUGUGUCUUUUCUGAAAUGGGUUUUUAGUUAUUAAAAGAUUGAAUUUAAGACACCCAUUUCAGAAUUUUAAUGGAGUUUUGAUUCAUCUCUAGAAUACCCAUUCCAGAACUUGUUUGUUUUAGAGGUUUUCUUUUAGAGUUGGAAAAGCGCCAUUUGCUGGGAAAAACCCAAUCCCAAGAGAUUGAAGAAGGAGACAUAACCCAAACUCAAUUUGGGAUUUCUUGUUAAUUUCUUCGUAAACCCAGAGGAAGUUUAAGAGAAGAGUGACAGAGAGAAAAGUGAUGAAUUUUGGAGCAUUGAGCAUGGAAGAGAAGAAAGAAACUGAAAGAGAGGAGUUAGAAGAAGAAGAAGGACACGGGCAACAAGAACAUGAUUUGUCAAGAAAAAUUCCACCAUGGAAGAAACAAAUUACAGUGAGAGGACUAAUUGCAAGUUUUAUAAUUGGGAUAAUUUACACUGUGAUAGUGACAAAGCUUAAUCUCACAACAGGACUUGUUCCCAAUCUUAAUGUCUCUGCUGCUCUUCUGGCAUAUGUUUUCAUUAAGUCAUGGACUAAGAGGGGGUUAGUCCUCAAGUGAUUUUGGGGGAGUUGAGUGUAUUUUAAAUCUCAGGAAUUUUAAGAGAGUGUAGGGAGUUUGAGAGAGUUUGGUGUUUUUGAGUUCAGGGAGUUUGGGGGAGUGUAGGGAGUUUGAGAGAGUUUAUUAGAGGGAGUUUGGGGGAGUUUGAGAGAGUUCACUCCUAACUCAUUCUCUUUUAAGAAACAAUAAAAGGGAGCUGAGCUCAAUUUCAGUG